This 3651-nucleotide ribosomal RNA is filed under the name Triticum aestivum (bread wheat). Its description in RNAcentral is "partial small subunit ribosomal RNA". Lineage: Eukaryota; Viridiplantae; Streptophyta; Magnoliopsida; Poales; Poaceae. The record is from RNAcentral.
UAUAUACGUGUCUGUGUGUGUCUCUUUCUCCCUCCGUCUCAGCGUUGAGCGUUGGGGUGAUCGUGUUGCGGUUGCAUUCGAAACUAGCGGGCGGCUACUUCUCGAAGGACCAGGGAAGGCCGCUGUUCCUUCUCCCCCGCCGCAACCACGGCGGAGUCCUCCUGCCGCUCCGCGGCGCGUUCCAGCAGCAGCUGCCGCCGUUUCGACGACUGUGCCGCCAACUUGCGAGCAGCGGCAGAAGCGGUAGUUGUCGCUGCUGCUGCUUCUUCGGCACCACCUUCCGGAGCGACGACAGAGGCUGCUUCCCGCGGCACCCCGACCACUAGCCGCCGGAGCACGAGGAGCGCGACGAGCGGCCGCGGUCUACCUAGCUGGAGCUGCGGAGCAAGGACGCCCCGUUGCCGUCGCCGUGGCCGCCGUGGUCGGCAGCAACCGCGGUAGGAGGGGCGGCGGUUGCGAGCAGUGGCGGGCACGGGUAUGGGAAGUCGACGCCGUUGCCCUGCAGUAGCAGCAGAUGCGGUGAUACGGCAGCGGGGGCACCCCGUUACGGUGGUGGCCGACGUAGCGGUAGAGGUCGCCGCGGCCUUGCCGGGCACGGCGCCGGCGGAAGCACGGGCCUGAUGAAGUCCGUGUAGGUGAGCCUGGAACGCGGCACCGCGCUCUUCCCCUAGUCGUCCCUCCGCCACCUCGUGCCGGUCGGCUUGCGUCGCAAGGCCGACUGCCACCAGAAGCCCGCGCGCAUGCACCUCUGCAUGGUGGCGCACAAGGUCUGCGCCCUGGAUAAGUGCGUCACCCCCUAGCGCGUCGACGAGCGGGCGAUGGGUCCGGCGCAGGGCCUGGAGCUGGAGUACAAGUUGACGCUCCUGUACGGCCUCGACGCGCGGCGGCUGAUGGGCCUGUGGAGGCGGCGCGGCGGCGAGAAGGCGAUGACGUUCCUGCCGUGGAGCCAGCUCCAGGAGAAGGGCCUGACCAGGAAGACCCCGACCGGCCUCCAGUUGUAGGCAGGUACCCCCGGCGAGUACUUCCUCUAGCGGUUCCUCUUGCGCGCCGAGGGGACCGGCCUGUCCCUCGGCAUGCGCAAGACCUUCCCGUUGGGAGUGCACAGCCUUCGCGCGGCGCUGGAGAAGGCGACGUCGUUGCUAAGGCGGCGGCCGUUUCUGACCUUGCGCGCCGACAAGCGCGACCUGACCCCGCGGCGGUUGGCCUUGCCGAAGUUCCCGAGGUUGGACCGCCUCGUCACGGCCAUGUCCAUGUUCUAGAUGCACGUCCCCGCCAGCACCAGCCACUCGCUCUUCAUGUAAGAGCGUACGCUGAGCGGCUACGACCGGUAGCUGUGCGGGAAGCUCCUGAAGAAGAGGGCCCCCGAGCAGCGGCCGGCGGUGAUGACCGGGUAGCUGGGGUCCCUGUUCACGGCGCGCCAGUUCAAGCGGCAGCUGACCCCCUUGCCCGUAGGCCGCGACCGGGUCGCGUACCCGUUCCUCCCGUCGCCCAAGCGCUCCCUCCUCUACUCGUACCUGAUGCAAAUGCUGAUGUACAACGUGCACGAGUGGGUCAUGCGACGGGACGAGGCCAUGUUCGGGUGGCACGGCCUCUUGCGGCACCUCGAGACGGGGCUCAGGUACCGGACGAGGCGGGUUCCGGCCCUGUCCCUCAAGUACUACCUCAGGUCCCUCUACAUACACCGGCCUAUGCUCGGUACGUGCAACGGCGGCGGCAAGUGGCGGCUCCUCCUCUCCCUCUACCGACGCUCCCUUCUCCUACACGCUUCUUCUCAUCAAUUUUACCUCCCCUCCAUCGUCGAGUGGAAUGAUCUUUACCAUCUAAUAUGUUCAACUAAAUCACACCGUCUCGUUCUCACUGUCUCGUUCUAGUUGGUUACCUUGUCCAUUUGUAUGUUUCUACUUCUGUUCGAAUCUCAUAGAUAGAUAAUAUAAUACUUUUGUUUUCUGUUUGCUCUGUGGUGUAAAUAGGUGUAUACGAUUAUAAUAAUGGUGGCAAACUAGUCUUAUUAUUACCGAUUCUAAAUUUCAAUAAACCCAUUGUACGAUCGUAUACGCUAGGUCCUAUAACUUGGCAGUGCAGAUACGUAUUAUUCGUAGAUUUUAUUCUAUGUAGCAUUUGCCUUCCUUCGUGGCUAACCCUAACUAACUAAUAUUUUCCGCAUUUUUUUUCAUGUACGUUUGGUACAAAUAAACCGAUUUUCUGUUCACAUAACUAAUCCUCUAUGUCUCAGGAUUAGGUAGUGCACGGAUAUACAUUCUUCCUAUAAUGCUCAGAUUUGGGAUGUGACGGCGCCGGAUUUUCUAGUAUCUUAAAGUAAGGGAGAAUUUUUUCCAGAACCUAAGAGUAGGAGCGCGGUGUUAGUGUAGGUAGAAGUUACGGGAACCGGCUCGAGGAACUCUUUCGAGCUGCGAAAGAGCGAGACGACUAGGGGAAAAGAAAAACACGACUCCAAUCGUUUUUAUUUGUACCCGUUCGUUUUUACUUUUUCGAACCUCUAUUUCGUUAUUGUCUUGCUAUACAGCUAAGGGAGAAAGCCAAACACGGGUCGAAUCACCUUUAGUACCCGUUCGUAUUGACCUUUUCAAACCUCUACUUCGUUAUUGUUUUGCAUACGGCUAGGGGAGAAACCAAACACGGUUCGAAUCACUUUUAGUACCCGUUCGUCUUGACCCUUUUGAUCCUCUACUUCGUUAUUGUCUUGCUAGUCCUUCCAAGACCCGCUGAGCCUACCCGCCCGCUACCUUAGUAGUAACCACCUCCAAGUUCCUGCUACCGCACCUACGGUGAUACUAAAAACCGGGAGGUCCUUUGGAUCCGUCGUUUAUUUUUCCCGGUACCGUUUUUAGUGCAUGUCUCGACCAUCCGUAAAGACUUUUAAUCUAUAACCGGAAUGUGAACCCGUUUUAUUGAAAAGAUAUCUAUUCUUACCCCAACUUUCCUAGAAGGCGCACUUUUUAUAAAGUCUAUUACCGUACAAACCUCAACCACGGUAUGAAAACUCCAAACUACAUCAGAUUGCACGUAGUUACUUUAUCUCUUUAUUUCAGAUUAUAAUAUGUAUAAAGAUAGGAAAAACAUAAAAGAAGAUAGUAAACAUAUAAACCCGUGAGCCCAUUAAAGUGUCCAAAUUAUAACAUAUAAAAGAACUAUAAAACCACGGAACCUAUAUAACGCUUGCUAUGAGCGCAGAAUAGAAUACAAGAAGUAAUAUAACACUUGCCCAACUUUAUUGCUAUCCGAUAACUAAAACUGUAAUACGUCAAACUGGUUGGAUAACUACUACACAUGGAAGUCUAAGUACACUAGAAGAGUAGAAAACGUUGAUUCUUAACAAGAAAAGAGGUGCAGACGAUAAUGUCGUUUGAUGGGGUGGCCAUAAACACCUAGUUUUCGUCUGGUUACGGAUGUUUAAAAGGUAGAAUGUCUUCAAGUAAGUACAGGUACCAUUUGUUUAGGACAACGUAUAAUACGAGUAAUCCACAACUACUAGUACGAUUUAUUCCCGACGAAAGAUAGUAGUUAAGAUCCACAUUGCACGGGAGUGUCAUACCAGCUUCAGUAUCUUACAAUGCGAUACACGAAGAAUAUGAGAGAGUGCAGGGUUUUAUUCACAACGCCUGCCUCCCUCAUAAUCCAUCGUAGGAAGGG